AGGAUUAACGCUGGCGGCGUGCCUAACACAUGCAAGUCGAACGAGGUAGCAAUACCUAGUGGCAGACGGGUGAGUAACGCGUGGUCAACCUACCGUUGAGUGGGGGAUAACUAGCCGAAAGGUUAGCUAAUACCGCAUACGAGUCUCGGGGGCAUCCCUGGGUCUUAAAAGGAGCAAUCCGCUCGAUGACGGGACCGCGUCCCAUUAGCUAGAUGGUGGGGUAAUGGCCUACCAUGGCUCCGAUGGGUAGCUGGUUUGAGAGAGCGACCAGCCACACUGGGACUGAGAAACGGCCCAGACUCCUACGGGAGGCAGCAGUGAGGAAUUUUCCGCAAUGGGCGAAAGCCUGACGGAGCGACGCCGCGUGUGGGAAGAAGGCCUUCGGGUCGUAAACCACUGUCGAAGGGGACGAUAAUGACGGUACCCUUGGAGGAAGCCCCGGCUAACUACGUGCCAGCAGCCGAC
This 465-nucleotide ribosomal RNA is filed under the name uncultured bacterium. Its description in RNAcentral is "SSU rRNA". It matches the Rfam family "Bacterial small subunit ribosomal RNA", at positions 26 to 518 of the family's 1533-position model. The record is from RNAcentral.